Molecule: RNA transcript, 2857 nt
Organism: Zingiber officinale
Lineage: Eukaryota; Viridiplantae; Streptophyta; Magnoliopsida; Zingiberales; Zingiberaceae
Gene name: actin-related protein 6-like
Exons: 8
Source: RefSeq, a predicted model, not a curated record
UUUUCGUGCUUCCGUGGGACGGCGAGGGUAGGCGGCGAGAUGUGGCGGAUCUGAGAAGAGAUAGAAGAAGGCGGUUAGGAAGUGGCGGACGAGAUCGCAUCAGAUGUCCAAAGGGAGCGUGGUGGUCAUCGACAAUGGGGCGGGGCUGUGCAAGGCGGGGUUUGGCGGAGAUAGGGAUCCCGUGGCCAUCGUCCCCAACUGCGUCGGAAAGUCUCCUGCCUCCAAGAAAUGGCUGGUGGCGGACGAACUCCGUGCCGCCGACACCGACGUCACUUCCGUGUCCCUCCGGCGGCCCUUCGAUCGCGGCUACCUCGUCAAUCCGGAGCUCCAGAGGGAGGUGUGGGACAGAGUGAUCCGAACCCUCCUUCGCGUCGACCCUAACCAUUCCUCGCUCCUCCUCGUGGAGCCUCUCUUCAACCCUUCUUCUGUCCAGCGCGUCACCGAUGAGAUCGUGUUCGAGGAUUUCGGCUUCCGCUCACUCUGCGUCGCCGAUUCCCCCUCCCUCGUCCACCUCUUCGAGGCGAGUCGCGGCCAUUCCCACUGUCAUCAGACUCAAUGCAGCCUCGUGGUCGACUGCGGCUUCUCCUUCACCCACGCCGCCCCCGUGCUCCAAAACUUCACGCUCAACUACGCGGUCAAGCGCCUCGACCUCGGUGGCAAGGUCCUGACCAACUACCUCAAGGAGUUAGUCUCGUACCGCUCCGUCAACGUCAUGGAUGAGACCCUCAUCAUUGACCACGCCAAAGAGAAGCUCUGCUUCGUCUCUCUCGAUGUGUCACGGGAUCUCCGCCUUGCAAGGAGAGGUGGAAAACAGAACCCAUUCAAGUGCACGUAUGUUCUCCCUGAUGGUAUUGAACAUACUAAAGGCUAUGUCAAAGAUUUUGAUGAAGCACAGAGGUACCUUUCUCUGCCGUAUGAGACAUUGCCCACAGUUUCAGGACAAAAGGAAGAGCUGACACUCUCACCCUCCAAUUUGGAAAAACCAGAACAGAGGAUGAAAGUUGAUUUGUUGCAAAAUGAAUUUACCCUGACAAAUGAACGCUUCCUUGUGCCUGAGAUGCUAUUCCAUCCUGCUGAUUUAGGUAUUAACCAAGCAGGAUUAGCUGAAUGCAUUGUCCGAGCGGUUAAUUCUUGUCAUCCUCUUCUUCAUCCUAUACCCUAUGAAAGGGUGUAUGUUGUUUUUGCCUUUUUGUGAGUCAUGUUGCAGCAUUCUACUGACUGGUGGAAGCACACUAUUUCCUCGUUUUGUGAAAAAUGGAGCUUCGUCCUCUUGUUCCCGGUGAUUAUCAAGUGAAGAUUACUUCACAAGAAGAUCCUAUUCUAGGCAUAUGGAGAGGUGGUUCACUGUUAGCAUGGAGCCCUGAUUUUGAGCCAAUGUGCGUGAGCAAAUCUGAUUAUGAAGAGCUUGGUUCAACUCGUUGUCGACGCCGCUUUUUCCGCUGAGUAUUAUAAUUAUAGUCGUUUAUUAGCUACUCUUUUUGGUGAGAUUGUUAAUCUCUCUCUAAGAAGUUGGGUUGACAAACAUUUCAUCAUCAUUUAUCAAGGUGGUAGCAUUGGCAUCCCAUUUGAAGGACUAUACUCAAAGGAUGGCAAGUGUUGAGUUGCUUGUUGCUGGUAAAUUCCAUUGUUUUAAACUUAACUGUCAACUGUCAAAUUAAAAUUUUGUACUCAGUCAAGUGACUAUAUGUUGUUAAGUAUGCAGGAAUUAGUUAGUUGACACUUUAUGUUCGUGUGUUAUAUUUGUGUUGUCUUUUCCUCAUGUAAAUAGCUAGUGAUAUCAGUGUAAAAUUAGAUAAAUUCUAAAAGUCAAUACACACGAGAAAACGUCGAAUGUUUUAAGAAUUAUUUUCAUUCCAUCACGUGGUUUAUUUUCCUCAUAUCGUAGUUUAAUUCUUAUCUAUAAUCUGUGGUUUACCUCCAAUCAAUCUGUCAAUGAGUUUCAUAUGUUUUUGUGGGUGUGUGGGAAUCUUUCAUUAAGAUGUUUAUAUUGAAUACUAAUUCUGUUUCUCUUUCUUCCUAAAAGUUAGCAUAGAUUGUGAAGGCUCUUUAUUUGCUCAAGGUUAGCGACUAAAGCAUAUCAUUCUUGUCAUUGAAGGAAUUCUUGGUAACCCAUUUGAAAAUCUUUGUUUUUCAAAGUUCAUGGCUUGGGAGGAUCAUAUGUCGCAAAAGUUUGGGAGGGUAAGUGUAACUCAUCAGUUUUUGCUCGUUCUGGAUCAUGAAAUCUUACUUCGAAAUCUCUCCUUGAUUCAUGUCAUUGAAAUGUCAUUAAACUUGUGAAUAUUUAGGCUUAUUUUUCCUACUAAUGAAGGUUAGAGGAGUAUCAAAAUUGCUGAAAAUUCUUUGGCAGUUUCUUUCGAAAUCCAGAUGGUUGUUUCCUAUACAGGAAAGGCGGAUCAAAAUUGCAAGAUGACCAAAAUGCCGGCCCCCUUGAAUUCCUCCUAGUUGAAGGGAACAAGAUGAAUCUGUCCAUCAGACUCAAACCAUCAUCAUUCAUCUUCCGUCAAAGAGAACAAAUCGGUAAUCCUAGUUCACCGCACACCUACUCUACACUUUCAAUUUCCGUCAAUGUGAAAAUCUGUACCGUUGAGAAAGGUCCAAACCCCUCUUUGAUGUAGCACAAAUUUGCUCAAAUCAUCUUUGGUUGAUGUUCAAACCCUAAUUUACAUCGGUAAAACUAGACCUUUCUUUGGUGCAAAAUGAUGCCUUGCAGCAUACUAAACACAAAUGCCAGCAAAAUUGCAUUGUACAACUGUUAUGGUGCAAAUGCUAAUUGUCCAUUGUGUGUUGUAUAUUUUUGGAUGACAAAUUAUUAUACCCUUAUCCAUUUGGGAAAUAGGGUCGUGCCCAUCGACUACAA